Molecule: ribosomal RNA, 253 nt
Filed under: uncultured bacterium
Lineage: Bacteria
Description: partial 16S ribosomal RNA
Rfam family: Bacterial small subunit ribosomal RNA
Source: RNAcentral
UACGAAGGGGGCUAGCGUUGCUCGGAAUUACUGGGCGUAAAGGGCGCGUAGGCGGGUCGUUAAGUUAGAGGUGAAAGCCCAGGGCUCAACCCUGGAAUUGCCUUUAAUACUGUCGACCUUGAGUAUGGCAGAGGUGUGUGGAACUCCGAGUGUAGAGGUGAAAUUCGUAGAUAUUCGGAAGAACACCAGUGGCGAAGGCGACACACUGGGCCAUUACUGACGCUGAGGCACGAAAGCGUGGGGAGCAAACAGG